CGGCCGCAGGUCCAGGCGCCAUGGCUGCGGAGCGGACCCGGCCGCUGCGACGCUCUGGCGGCCCGAGCGCGCCUAGUCGGUGUGAGCCCGGCGCGAGGUCCCGGGCCCCGGGGCGCUCGCUCAGGUCAGUGCCGCGCGGAACACGGCUCCGGGAGCAGGGGACCAAGGGAGUCACGAACGAGCUGAGCGACUCGGAGAUAAUUUUAGAGACAGGAAAAUUAGAGCUAAGAGUUCCUGCCUUCAGGUGCCUAGCAGCGAAACGAGUUAACAUUGACGCCCCGAGGCUACCUCUUUAAAGACGAUUCAUUGUAGACAGGUGGUUUAUAAAAUGCAGAACGUUGUAGUGUGUGUAGGAAGGCACCAUGCUUGUGGGUAUGCCUUGAAAACAGUUUUCUCUGUAUGGCCCCAGCAGUCCUGGAACUCUUUGUAGACCAAGCUGGUCUUGAACUCUACCUACCUCUGCCUCCCAGAU
This 472-nucleotide long non-coding RNA is filed under the name Rattus norvegicus (Norway rat). RNAcentral's name for it is "long non-coding RNA NONRATT019221". Lineage: Eukaryota; Metazoa; Chordata; Mammalia; Rodentia; Muridae. The record is from RNAcentral.